This is an unclassified non-coding RNA of Pongo abelii (Sumatran orangutan), 148 nucleotides long. It matches the Rfam family "Metazoan signal recognition particle RNA". Rfam says of the family: The signal recognition particle (SRP) is a universally conserved ribonucleoprotein. The record is from Ensembl. Lineage: Eukaryota; Metazoa; Chordata; Mammalia; Primates; Hominidae.
GCUGGGUAUGGUGGUGCAUGCCUGUAGUCCCACCUACUCAGGAGGCUGAGGUGAGAGGAUUGCUUGAGCCUGGGAGGUCGAGGCUGCAGUGAGCCAUGAUCAUGCCACUGCACUCCAGCCUGAGUGACAGAGUGAGACCUUGUCUCUU